Molecule: ribosomal RNA, 254 nt
Filed under: uncultured bacterium
Lineage: Bacteria
Description: partial 16S ribosomal RNA
Rfam family: Bacterial small subunit ribosomal RNA
Source: RNAcentral
UACGGGGGGGGCAAGCGUUGUUCGGAAUUACUGGGCGUAAAGGGCUCGUAGGUGGCCAACUAAGUCAGACGUGAAAUCCCUCGGCUUAACCGGGGAACUGCGUCUGAUACUGGAUGGCUUGAAUUCGGGAGAGGGAUGCAGAAUUCCAGGUGUAGCGGUGAAAUGCGUAGAUAUCUGGAGGAAUACCGGUGGCGAAGGCGGCAUCCUGGACCGACAUUGACGCUGAUGAGCGAAAGCUAGGGGAGCAAACGGGG